UGGAGGAAAGCAGGGGAUCGUAAGACCUUGCGCUUUUGGAGCGGCCGAUGUCUGAUUAGCUAGUUGGUGGGGUAAUGGCCUACCAAAGCUUCGAUCAGUAGCUGGUCUGAGAGGACGGCCAGCCACACUGGGACUGAGACACGGCCCAGACUCCUACGGGAGGCAGCAGUGGGGAAUUUUGGACAAUGGGCGCAAGCCUGAUCCAGCCAUGCCGCGUGAGUGAAGAAGGCCUUCGGGUUGUAAAGCUCUUUCAGCCGGGAAGAAAAGGCUGCGACUAAUAAUCGCAGUUCAUGACGGUACCCGAAGAAGAAGCACCGGCUAACUACGUGCCAGCAGCCGCGGUAAUACGUAGGGUGCGAGCGUUAAUCGGAAUUACUGGGCGUAAAGGGUGCGCAGGCGGUUUUGUAAGUCAGAUGUGA
This 419-nucleotide ribosomal RNA is filed under the name uncultured ammonia-oxidizing beta proteobacterium. Its description in RNAcentral is "bacterial SSU rRNA". It matches the Rfam family "Bacterial small subunit ribosomal RNA", at positions 197 to 597 of the family's 1533-position model. Lineage: Bacteria; Pseudomonadati; Pseudomonadota; Betaproteobacteria. The record is from RNAcentral.